GGGGAAUAUUGCACAAUGGGGGAAACCCUGAUGCAGCGACGCCGCGUGGAGGAAGAAGGUCUUCGGAUUGUAAACUCCUGUUGUUGAGGAAGAUAAUGACGGUACUUAACAAGGAAGUGACGGCUAACUACGUGCCAGCAGCCGCGGUAAAACGUAGGUCACAAGCGUUGUCCGGAAUUACUGGGUGUAAAGGGAGCGCAGGCGGGCGAUCAAGUUGGAAGUGAAAUCCAUGGGCUCAACCCAUGAACUGCUUUCAAAACUGAUUGUCUUGAGUAGUGCAGAGGUAGGCGGAAUUCCCGGUGUAGCGGUGGAAUGCGUAGAUAUCGGGAGGAACACCAGUGGCGAAGGCGGCCUACUGGGCACCAACUGACGCUGAGGCUCGAAAGUGUGGGUAGCAAACAGGAUUAGAUACCCUGGUAGUCCACACCGUAAACGAUGAUUACUAGGUGUUGGAGGAUUGACCCCUUCAGUGCCGCAGUUAACACAAUAAGUAAUCCACCUGGGGAGUACGACCGCAAGGUUGAAACUCAAAGGAAUUGACGGGGGCCCGCACAAGCAGUGGAGUAUGUGGUUUAAUUCGACGCAACGCGAAGAACCUUACCAAGUCUUGACAUCCUGCGACGAUGCUAGAAAUAGUGUUUUCCUUCGGGACGCAGAGACAGGUGGUGCAUGGUUGUCGUCAGCUCGUGUCGUGAGAUGUUGGGUUAAGUCCCGCAACGAGCGCAACCCUUAUGGUCAGUUACUACGCAAGAGGACUCUGGCCAGACUGCCGUUGACAAAACGGAGGAAGGUGGGGAUGACGUCAAAUCAUCAUGCCCUUUAUGACUUGGGCUACACACGUACUACAAUGGCGUUAAACAAAGAGAAGCAAGACCGCGAGGUGGAGCAAAACUCAGAAACAACGUCCCAGUUCGGACUGCAGGCUGCAACUCGCCUGCACGAAAUCGGAAUUGCUAGUAAUCGCAGAUCAGCAUGCUGCGGUGAAUACGUUCCCG
RNAcentral lists this ribosomal RNA (995 nucleotides) under uncultured bacterium. RNAcentral describes it as "bacterial SSU rRNA". It matches the Rfam family "Bacterial small subunit ribosomal RNA", at positions 356 to 1376 of the family's 1533-position model. The record is from RNAcentral.